UUUGGUUGUAACGCUGAAAAUUGAAGUUUUCCUUUUCCCUUUCCAAAACCCUAAGUUCAACCAUGGCCGCACACCUCUUUCCCCAUCGUUUAAUUUCCUUUUCAUUCUUCAUGUUUACAUCUUCUCUUUGAACAACCCUAACGGAGACUCUCCUAAUCCAGCAGAUCGAUUUUCAUCUGAUAUGUUUUUGACGGGUUAGGGUUUUUCAAUUCCCAUCAGUAGAGAAGAAGAUGAAGGUUAGUAUAUGCUUCUGAAUGUUUGAUUCUAAGCAUGGCCCUUCUUGAUUGCUGUAUCUCAUAUUGAUUUAAGGUGGGGGAUCACCCGGAUAUCAUGUUUUAGGUUAGGGUUUUUCAAAGUCUUGAUUAUUACAUGUUAAGUUGGCUAUUGUGGUUAAGAAUCAGAGUUUCUUUUCUUCCUCCUUCAUCAUCUUAUGUAAACCCUAAAGGAAUUCACACCAGUUCUUCGAGGAUUACUGGUUCAUUCUAAUCGGGGUUUCCUUUUCUCUUCCAUUGUUUUCUUUAAACCCUAGAAUUGAUUGUUUUUUUGUUGAGGCUUGAUAUUUGUUCAUGAUAUUUUCUAAAUUUGACUCUGUAUGUUUCAAGUUUUGUUUAUGGACAACUGAUUUGCAGCAGCUUUAG
This 638-nucleotide long non-coding RNA is filed under the name Helianthus annuus (common sunflower). RNAcentral's name for it is "sRNA HanXRQr2_Chr03g0113531". The record is from RNAcentral. Lineage: Eukaryota; Viridiplantae; Streptophyta; Magnoliopsida; Asterales; Asteraceae.